GUGCCAGCAGCCGCGGUNAUACGGAGGAUACGAGCGUUAUCCGGAAUUAUUGGGUUUAAAGGGUGCGUAGGUGGCGUAUUAAGUCAGUGGUGAAAAGCUGCAGCUCAACUGUAGUCUUGCCGUUGAAACUNAUAUGCUAGAGGAGACCGAAGGUAUGCGGAAUGUGUGGUGUAGCGGUGAAAUGCAUAGAUAUCACACAGAACGCCGAUUGCGAAGGCAGCGUACUAGGCUCCGUCUGACACUGAAGCACNAAAGCGUGGGGAUCAAACAGGAUUAGAUACCCUGGUAGUCC
Molecule: ribosomal RNA, 292 nt
Filed under: uncultured prokaryote
Description: partial 16S ribosomal RNA
Rfam family: Bacterial small subunit ribosomal RNA
Source: RNAcentral